UACGAAGGUGGCAAGCGUUGUUCGGAAUCACUGGGCGUAAAGGGCGUGUAGGCGGUUGGGUAAGUGGGAUGUGAAAUGCCUCGGCUCACCCGAGGACCGGCAUCCCAAACUGCCUGACUUGAGUAUGGGAGAGGAUGAGGGAAUUCCUGGUGUAGCGGUGAAAUGCGUAGAUAUCAGGAGGAACACCGGUGGCGAAGGCGCUCAUCUGGCCCAAUACUGACGCUGAGGCGCGAAAGCUAGGGGAGCAAACGGG
This 253-nucleotide ribosomal RNA is filed under the name uncultured bacterium. RNAcentral describes it as "partial 16S ribosomal RNA". It matches the Rfam family "Bacterial small subunit ribosomal RNA", at positions 524 to 776 of the family's 1533-position model. The record is from RNAcentral.